RNAcentral lists this ribosomal RNA (426 nucleotides) under uncultured archaeon. RNAcentral's name for it is "bacterial SSU rRNA". It matches the Rfam family "Archaeal small subunit ribosomal RNA", at positions 474 to 903 of the family's 1478-position model. The record is from RNAcentral.
UACCUGCAGCUCAAGUGGUGGCCGCUAUUAUUGGGCCUAAAACGUUCGUAGCCGGCUGAGUAAAUGCUUGGGUAAAUCGUGCCGCUUAACGGUACGAAUUCCGGGUAGACUGCUCAGCUUGAGACCGGGAGAAGCUAGAGGUACUCCUGGGGUAGAGGUGAAAUUCUGUAAUCCUGGGGGGACCACCAGUGGCGAAGGCGUCUAGCUAGAACGGGUCUGACGGUGAGGGACGAAACCCUGGGGCGCAAACCGGAUUAGAUACCCGGGUAGUCCAGGGUGCAAACGCUGCUUGCUUGAUGUUAGCUGGGCUCCGGGCUCAGCUAGUGUCGGAGAGAAGUUGUUAAGCAAGCUGCCUGGGAAGUACGAUCGCAAGAUUGAAACUUAAGGAUUGGCGGGGAGCACAGCAACGGGUGGAGCGUGUGGUUU